This is a long non-coding RNA of Odocoileus virginianus texanus, 171 nucleotides long. RefSeq lists it as uncharacterized. Lineage: Eukaryota; Metazoa; Chordata; Mammalia; Artiodactyla; Cervidae. The record is from RefSeq and is a predicted model, not a curated record.
CUUAGACUGCACAACAGCAACAUUCUUUUCUGAGUAUAGGUAAUCACAUCAUUAUCUAUGGAUAGAAGCUUGGGAGGACACAUAUUCAUGGCCUGGCAAGUGCCAUUAUAUUUGCUGUCUGCUUUAAAUACUUCAUAAAAAGAAGACACACAGGAAUUCCCACACAGAGGA